Molecule: unclassified non-coding RNA, 260 nt
Filed under: Hevea brasiliensis (rubber tree)
Lineage: Eukaryota; Viridiplantae; Streptophyta; Magnoliopsida; Malpighiales; Euphorbiaceae
Source: RNAcentral
GUCAACUUUCACCCCAGUGUCCUCCUCUUGCAUUUGAACUACUGAAACAGUCUCUGUUCUCAGAUAAGAGUCACCCUUCUCUCCACCAAAUGAGGGCAUCAAUUCAUAUUGAAUUAAGUGACCAGAUGGAGUAUAAGCUAAAAGAUGCUCCAAAGCAUUUAAGCUUUUGGGUGCAGGUUGUUCCCGGCGUACGGAACUGUGAAAAUCAGCAGCAAGAACACCAGAAGGCACAGAAACCUUUCCUGCUGCAGAAGAUGCAG